RNAcentral lists this small RNA (614 nucleotides) under Pongo abelii (Sumatran orangutan). RNAcentral's name for it is "retained intron". The record is from RNAcentral. Lineage: Eukaryota; Metazoa; Chordata; Mammalia; Primates; Hominidae.
CGUGGAGGCUGGUUUAGUGGGUUUUGGGGUAAGAAAGAGUCUAAGAAAAAGGACGAAGAAUCAUUGAUUCCUGAAACUAUUGAUGACCUUAUGACUCCAGAGGAAAAAGAUAAACUCUUCACUGCCAUUGGUUAUAGUGAGAGUACCCACAACCUAACUUUACCUAAGCAGUAUGUUGCCCAUAUAAUGACCCUGAAGUUAGUAAGCACCUCUGUUACGAUAAGAGAAAACAAGAAUAUUCCAGAAAUACUAAAAAUUCAGAUAAUUGGCCUGGGCACUCAAGUAUCUCAGCGACCAGGAGCACAAGCACUUAAGGUAGAAGCGAAAUUAGAACACUGGUAUAUAACAGGUUUGAGACAGCAGGAUAUUGUACCGUCACUUGUGGCUUCAAUUGGUGACACUACAUCAUCCUUGCUUAAAAUUAAAUUUGAAACCAAUCCGGAGGAUACUCCUGCUGACCAGACUCUGAUUGUUCAGUCCCAGCCUGUGGAGAUCAUCUAUGAUGCUGUAAGUGCAAGGAGAAAGUAACUCUUUAUUUAAAUCAUCUUAUAUUUCCGACGUACAGUUUUAUUAUUUCUCCUCUUUCAUAUUUAACAUUUAUUUACUUAAUAAGU